This 241-nucleotide long non-coding RNA is filed under the name Lathyrus oleraceus (garden pea). RNAcentral describes it as "Pisum sativum (pea) long non-coding RNA (PSAT_LNC019602)". The record is from RNAcentral. Lineage: Eukaryota; Viridiplantae; Streptophyta; Magnoliopsida; Fabales; Fabaceae.
GGGUUCAACAUCUGGAAGACAUGGAUAGACUCAUAAGAGUCUGGAAGCUUGGUUAUGAUACUUCAAAUUCAUAACAACUUUUCUUCCUUUAAUGGUUCUUCUGAGUGAUUAACUUGAUUAAUAUCAAGAUUAAUGUCUUUUAAUUCUGCACACUAGAAUAACCAUUAGUAAACCUUGUUGUCCUUUAAAUAAUUUGUUAUCAUCAAAAUCUUUUAGCAGCUUGAACAAAUCUUGUUCUAAC